RNAcentral lists this ribosomal RNA (429 nucleotides) under uncultured bacterium. RNAcentral's name for it is "bacterial SSU rRNA". It matches the Rfam family "Bacterial small subunit ribosomal RNA", at positions 355 to 776 of the family's 1533-position model. The record is from RNAcentral.
UGGGGAAUAUUGGACAAUGGGGGCAACCCUGAUCCAGCAAUGCCGCGUGUGUGAAGAAGGCCUGAGGGUUGUAAAGCACUUUCAGUGGGGAGGAGGUUUAAUUGGUUAAGAGCUGAUUAGAUGGACGUUACCCACAGAAGAAGCACCGGCUAACUCCGUGCCAGCAGCCGCGGUAAUACGGAGGGUGCGAGCGUUAAUCGGAAUUACUGGGCGUAAAGGGUGCGUAGGUGGUUAAUUAAGUUAUCUGUGAAAUCCCUGGGCUUAACCUGGGCAGGUCAGAUAAGACUGGUUGACUCGAGUAUAGGAGAGGGUAGUGGAAUUUCCGGUGUAGCGGUGAAAUGCGUAGAGAUCGGAAGGAACAUCGGUGGCGAAGGCGGCUACCUGGCCUGAUACUGACACUGAGGCACGAAAGCGUGGGGAGCAAACAGG